AUCAAAUAAGUCGAAAUACGUCGUAUAAUGUUGGGGAUAUGGCCCAAAAGUUUCUACCAAGCUACCGUAAAUGGCUUGACUACGAGGUGUUCAUUGCUAGUU
This 102-nucleotide non-coding RNA is filed under the name Metabacillus harenarius. Its description in RNAcentral is "Bacillus weihaiensis Guanine sequence". It matches the Rfam family "Purine riboswitch aptamer". From Rfam's summary of the family: Riboswitches are metabolite binding domains within certain messenger RNAs that serve as precision sensors for their corresponding targets. Allosteric rearrangement of mRNA structure is mediated by ligand binding, and this results in modulation of gene expression. The record is from Rfam by way of RNAcentral. Lineage: Bacteria; Bacillati; Bacillota; Bacilli; Caryophanales; Bacillaceae.